RNAcentral lists this ribosomal RNA (387 nucleotides) under uncultured bacterium. Its description in RNAcentral is "bacterial SSU rRNA". It matches the Rfam family "Bacterial small subunit ribosomal RNA", at positions 426 to 793 of the family's 1533-position model. The record is from RNAcentral.
UAAAGCACUUUCAGUCGUGAGGAAGGCGGGUACGUUAAUAGCGUAUUCGUUUGUACGUUAGCGACAGAAGAAAGCACCGGCUAACUCCGUGCCAGCAGCCGCGGUAAGUACGGAGGGUGCGAGCGUUAAUCGGAAUUACUGGGCGUAAAGCGCAUGCAGGUGGUUUGUUUAAGUCAGAUGUGAAAGACCCGGGGCGUCAACCUCGGAAUAGCAUUUGUAAACUAGGCAGACUAGAGUACUGUAGAGGGGGGUAGGAAUUUCAGGUGUAGCGGUGAAAUGCGUAGAGAUCUGAAGGAAUACCGGUGGCGAAGGCGGCCCCCUCGGACAGAUACUGACACUCAGAUGCGAAAGCGUCGGGGAGCAAACAGGAUUAGACUACCCUGGUAG